Hippocampus zosterae (dwarf seahorse) is the source of this 1525-nucleotide long non-coding RNA. RefSeq lists it as uncharacterized. The record is from RefSeq and is a predicted model, not a curated record. NCBI's taxonomy places the organism in Eukaryota, Metazoa, Chordata, Actinopteri, Syngnathiformes, Syngnathidae. The transcript has 2 exons.
CCCACCGGCCUUCUACUAAACUCAGUCAUUUACUGGAACUCCACAAGAAUGGCGUUGGUUACAACAAGAUCAGAUCCAGUGCAAAACCGGAGAAACUUCUGAAGCUUGAAUUCAUCCAACUCUCUGAUGAACCUUUUCAGAUGAUUUAUCACUUCCUUCUGCUUUGGGGUUAAAUCAGUUGCAAAUUUCAGCAGUUGGCAGACUUUUUUUGAGGUAGGUUGCAAGUCCGAGCACAACUUGUUCAGUGCUUCAAGACUGAUGGAGACACGGUGAAGAGUAACCUCCCUCCAGCAGUCAAUCACAAACAUGGGCUUUUGGAUAAGCUCUUUGUUAUUGUGUGAAAGGUUUCAGCAGAGAUUCUUUUUCUACACCCGUAGCUGUCAAGAACUUCCACAAGAUCAUCUAGGUCCACUUCUGAAAAGUCCUUCAUUGCUUCCAUCAAAACUUCACGUUCUUGGCUGCUCACAAACUGCAGAAAAUGGGCUUUUAGAUCACUAUAGACACAGUUGAAAAGCACCUGCUCGAGGAAAGGAAAUGCAAGUUGGUUUGGGAAGUAGCAACAAUCUUGGUAUCCCUUUAAAAGAAUUCUCCCAACUGCUUUCCACUUUUCUGCAGGAAAAUCACGGCGAAUGAAUGGUACUUUAAUUGAUGUACCAAGGGUGCAUCGGUCAUAGAAUUCCUGCCAGAAGCAGCUGACAAUAUCCCUCAGUAAUCCAGAUCCAACACCUGCUUCUUCUGUACCAUCUGGGAGUAUGCGUUUCACAUUGAGUGAUUUAAGAUUGCAUUUUCAGAGAAUGCUAUGAUCAUAUCAUUCAAUGUGUCAGUGUAGUGCACAGUUAUUAUCAUCACAUCUUGUGGAUCAGGUGGACCAUCAUAGAUAAGUGUGAUGUCUGCAUCUCCCUCCGUGUUGUAUGUGGGGCCAAAAGUAAUUUCUGAAUCAACAGAAAUGUCGAAUGCUGUGUAGAUUUCAUUUGAAUCGACAGAGACCUCUUCAAUUUCAGAGUUGUAGUCACUGGCAUCGUGUGACACAACCAAUACUUCUUUGGACGCUGUGCUGCCAUCAUGGUGGUCGUCCUUUGGCCUUAUUGCAAUGUAAAAGCGCAACAACGUGAGCUUUGCAGCCUCAUACAUAUUGCCGAUGGAUUGGCAGGUUUCAUCAGUUAGGAGGUUUUGUUUGAAAUCCCACACCUCAAACUGAAAGUCCAAUUCAGAUCCUUUAGGAGAAAUUCCAUCGGGGAAAAAUAGUUUCUUUCCUUCCUCGAGAAUUUCUUUCAACCUAGCUUCUGUGGACAUUUGAAGUUUUCUGGUACCCCCUCUCUGCUUCUCCCUCACCGGUUUGGUUAUUUUUCCAUCAUUGUGUAUCCAUCCAAUUGCAACAUUUCUCGUUGUUUUCUGCCUCUUCGUCUGUCUUGCUUGUUGUGUCUUUGAGGAAGUGUCUUCUUUCCCGCUUUCUUUCCUGAUUUUCAUUUUUUCACGUAAUUUUUCCAAAAGUCCAUUUUUUCUUUUGGAUGGGAGCUGUUGAGUC